This 792-nucleotide small RNA is filed under the name Pan troglodytes (chimpanzee). RNAcentral's name for it is "retained intron". The record is from RNAcentral. Lineage: Eukaryota; Metazoa; Chordata; Mammalia; Primates; Hominidae.
AGGGAUGACCUGGGGACCCAGGUUCCUGUGUCCCUCUGCCCUCCAAAGGUUGUCACCCCAAUGUCUGUGAUCAAAUGUGGCUCACUUCUCUGUUCUAAUUGUGGGAGGAGGGACGCAGAGGAGGGAGGGGAGGCAACCAGAUUCCUUGCAAGGAUGUGAGCCAGACAUUGCACAUGCUGCAUGGGUUCCAAUCACAUGGCCUUUCCCAGCUGGAAGGAAGGCCGGGGGCUGUAGUCCCCAGUGGGAGGCUAGGUCCCCUUCUAAAACAUGGGAGGCUUCGUGACUGAGUAGCAAGAAAGCAGAAUGGUCCUGGGGCCCAUUAGCAGUUCUCCUCGCCAUGUUCCCCCUCUAAUCCAUUGCCUUCCCUCUCCUCUAACUCACUCUCCUCCUUUCCCAGGGAUUCCCCUGAAACCAAUGUUGGCCCAUCCCACCCGGGGCGUCAGCGAGGUCCUGAAACGCUUUGAGGAGGCAGCUUUCACCUGCGAAUACAAAUAUGACGGGCAGAGGGCACAGAUCCAUGCCCUGGAAGGCGGGGAGGUGAAGAUCUUCAGCAGGAAUCAGGAAGACAACACUGGGAAGUACCCGGACAUCAUCAGCCGCAUCCCCAAGAUUAAACUCCCAUCGGUCACAUCCUUCAUCCUGGACACCGAAGCCGUGGCUUGGGACCGGGAAAAGAAGCAGAUCCAGCCAUUCCAAGUGCUCACCACCCGCAAACGCAAGGAGGUGGAUGCAUCCGAGAUCCAGGUGCAGGUGUGUUUGUACGCUUUCGACCUCAUCUACCUCAAUGGAGAG